This 279-nucleotide ribosomal RNA is filed under the name uncultured bacterium. RNAcentral describes it as "partial 16S ribosomal RNA". It matches the Rfam family "Bacterial small subunit ribosomal RNA", at positions 506 to 784 of the family's 1533-position model. The record is from RNAcentral.
UGCCAGCCGCCGCGGUAAUACGGAGGGUGCAAGCGUUGUUCGGAAUCAUUGGGCGUAAAGCGAGUGUAGGCGGCCGAGCAAGUCGGAUGUGAAAUCCCAGGGCCCAACCCUGGAACUGCAUUCGAUACUGCCCGGCUAGAGUCCCGGAGAGGGUGGCGGAAUUUCUGGUGUAGAGGUGAAAUUCGUAGAUACCAGAAGGAACACCAGUGGCGAAGGCGGCCAUCUGGACGGUGACUGACGCUGAGACUCGAAAGCGUGGGGAGCAAACAGGAUUAGAUA